CCUGUGGAGGGAAGGGGACAGGCAGGCGUCAGGCCCUGGCGGGGGCUCCCCUGGGAGCCCCUCCCAGAUUUAAUUUCCCACCGCUGUGGGGAAAUCUCCCAAGUUUCAGUGCAGGACUCAAGGACAGGCACAGCGACACCAUGAGCCGCAGUGAGCUAUUCACCACCAUCCCCCCGACCUCCGCUGCGCCUGCACCCGCCUCGCUUUGUUCAACCAGCCGAACCAAACCCCACAGCCCCUGACCUAAAGGGACGAGUGAGCAACGUGCUGCGAGCAGCCCGGCCGCGUGGGGGGCUCGGAGGAGGCGCCCAAAGCUUGCUGCUGGGUUUCCCUGAGAAACCACCAGGGCUGGAGACGCCUCUGAAGGUACCUGAGGGACUUUUGCUGGAAGAAAUGGGGAGAAAAUGUGCUCUUUUUACUUUUGUUCAGAGCUCUGACUUGGCUUCACCUCUGUCUCCUUUGCCAGUGGAUUUCCAGGGCUCUUAGGGGAAGAGCUAGCACACAGUGAUGGGAAGAGCAGAGGAUGACAAACGCGUUGUCCUGGGCUCUCGGCGCACCUCCCACUCCAGGAAACUCCUGCAGGUGGUAGGGCUGGGAGCAGAGGACAGCGUUACCCUCGGCCACGCUCUGAGCCGCAAAUGCAGGGGCAGCAGGGAGUGACCGGUCUGUAAUUGCCGGGUCUGUGCACAAACCCGUGCAAUCACAAAUGACCAACUUAAUUCCUGCAUGGCACAUCUCUCGGAAUACAGAGCAGAAAUGCGACUGCAGUGGUAAAGGAGGAAAAAAAAAAAAAAAAAGGCGGUCAGAUCCCAGCCUAAUAACUGAGUGCAAUUAUCAGGUCCUAGGCUACCAGGUAAUACAACGAGAGCAAUGAGGAGGUGAAUACAAUGAUCCAGAAGAGCAGUAAGUGGAAAAACAGCUGUUGUACCCUGAGAGGCUCCUGAAAGAGCGUAUGACUGAUGCUUUCAAAAUGAUAAAAGGAAUUAGAAAGAGUAAACACAGCUACGUUGGUGCUAAAGCUGAGAUUCAGAGCGCAGCCCGAUGGAGAGGGAGCUGACACGCCAGGCUUUUAAAAUAUGGCACCUGGGCUGAAAUUAUUUAUUGCACGGGGCGUGUAACACGCUUCCCAAUUGUUUGUCACAGGCGACAGAGGAAUCAUGUUAACGAAGCUAUAACCUGUCGUGGGGUGAGGGGGAUUUUCUCAUUUGCCCCGAAACGCAGCGUGUUCAGCUCCCCGAUGUGUGUGGCCCCUCCACGAGGCUGAGAUGAGGACCUGCUGUUAGCUGCUGGCUGUGCAAGGCAGGAUUUGGCCUCAGGGCUCCUGCCCCCAAAAAGCAUCUGCUGGUUGAGUUCCCAGCCCGAGGAAUGACCCGAGUGGGGGUCCCACACCUGCCUGCCCUCGGGGGAUGCCCGGGGUGCGUGGAUUAAUGGAAGCGGGUUAAUUAAAUGCUGCGAAACACCUAUGUGGCUAACCUCAGAGUGAAGGCAGUCCUCGUUGAAUUUACUGUCAUUUCAUCGUGAGAUAGCAGACAAACCACAUCUGGGCUCUAGUAAGCGUGUCUACCUGGGGGCUCCAUGCAACUCCAUCAUUCCCCCAAC
Molecule: long non-coding RNA, 1599 nt
Organism: Anas platyrhynchos (mallard)
Lineage: Eukaryota; Metazoa; Chordata; Aves; Anseriformes; Anatidae
Source: RefSeq, a predicted model, not a curated record